This 233-nucleotide ribosomal RNA is filed under the name uncultured bacterium. Its description in RNAcentral is "partial 16S ribosomal RNA". It matches the Rfam family "Bacterial small subunit ribosomal RNA", at positions 118 to 351 of the family's 1533-position model. The record is from RNAcentral.
CGAGUAACCUGCCCUUAACUCUGGGAUAAGCCUGGGAGACUGGGUCUAAUACCGGAUAUGACUCCUCAUCGCAUGGUGGGGGGUGGAAAGCUUUUUGUGGUUUUGGAUGGACUCGCGGCCUAUCAGCUUGUUGGUGAGGUAAUGGCCCACCAAGGCUUCGACGGGUAGCCGGCCUGAGAGGGUGACCGGCCACACUGGGACUGAGACACGGCCCAGACUCCUACGGGAGGCAG